UGGGGAAUAUUGCACAAUGGGGGAAACCCUGAUGCAGCGACGCCGCGUGAACGAAGAAGGUAUUCGUAUCGUAAAGUUCUGUCCUAUGGGAAGAUAAUGACAGUACCAUAGAAGAAAGCUCCGGCUAAAUACGUGCCAGCAGCCGCGGUAAUACGUAUGGAGCGAGCGUUGUCCGGAAUUAUUGGGCGUAAAGGGUACGCAGGCGGUUUAAUAAGUCGAAUGUUAAAGAUCGGGGCUCAACCCCGUAAAGCAUUGGAAACUGAUAAACUUGAGUAGUGGAGAGGAAAGUGGAAUUCCUAGUGUAGUGGUGAAAUACGUAGAUAUUAGGAGGAAUACCAGUAGCGAAGGCGACUUUCUGGACGCAAACUGACGCUGAGGUACGAAAGCGUGGGGAGCAAACAGG
RNAcentral lists this ribosomal RNA (403 nucleotides) under bacterium. Its description in RNAcentral is "partial 16S ribosomal RNA". It matches the Rfam family "Bacterial small subunit ribosomal RNA", at positions 355 to 776 of the family's 1533-position model. The record is from RNAcentral.